GUGGGGAAUAUUGCACAAUGGGCGAAAGCCUGAUGCAGCAACGCCGCGUGAAGGAAGAAGGGUUUCGGCUCGUAAACUUCUAUCAACAGGGACGAAAGAAAUGACGGUACCUGAAUAAGAAGCCCCGGCUAACUACGUGCCAGCAGCCGCGGUAAUACGUAGGGGGCAAGCGUUAUCCGGAAUUACUGGGUGUAAAGGGUGAGUAGGCGGCAUGGUAAGCCAGAUGUGAAAGCCUUGGGCUUAACCCGAGGAUUGCAUUUGGAACUAUCAAGCUAGAGUACAGGAGAGGAAAGCGGAAUUCCUAGUGUAGCGGUGAAAUGCGUAGAUAUUAGGAAGAACACCAGUGGCGAAGGCGGCUUUCUGGACUGAAACUGACGCUGAGGCACGAAAGCGUGGGGAGCGAACAGGAUUAGAUACCCCAGUAGUCC
This 428-nucleotide ribosomal RNA is filed under the name uncultured bacterium. RNAcentral's name for it is "bacterial SSU rRNA". It matches the Rfam family "Bacterial small subunit ribosomal RNA", at positions 354 to 796 of the family's 1533-position model. The record is from RNAcentral.